Molecule: ribosomal RNA, 301 nt
Filed under: uncultured bacterium
Lineage: Bacteria
Description: partial 16S ribosomal RNA
Rfam family: Bacterial small subunit ribosomal RNA
Source: RNAcentral
CAGCAGCCGCGGUAAUACAGAGGGUGCGAGCGUUAAUCGGAUUUACUGGGCGUAAAGCGUGCGUAGGCGGCUUUUUAAGUCGGAUGUGAAAUCCAUGAGCUUAACUUAGGAAUUGCAUUCGAUACUGGGAAGCUAGAGUAUGGGAGAGGAUGGUAGAAUUCCAGGUGUAGCGGUGAAAUGCGUAGAGAUCUGGAGGAAUACCGAUGGCGAAGGCAGCCAUCUGGCCUAAUACUGACGCUGAGGUACGAAAGCAUGGGGAGCAAACAGGAUUAGAUACCCCCGUAGUCCCUGUCUCUUAUAC